UCUGUACGGGAAGGAUGAGAAGCUUCUACCAGGGUUCGAUUCGAGCGCAGCGAGAAAGCGUUGCCGCAGGCAACGACCCGAAGGGCGAAGCGCGCAGCGCUGAGUCAUCCUUCCCCCACCACCA
This 124-nucleotide small RNA is filed under the name Salmonella enterica subsp. enterica serovar Bareilly. Its description in RNAcentral is "partial RtT sRNA". It matches the Rfam family "RtT RNA". From Rfam's summary of the family: This family represents a bacterial cis-regulatory element known as RtT RNA. The exact function of RtT is unknown although it is thought that it may be involved in changing the cellular response in relation to amino acid starvation. Lineage: Bacteria; Pseudomonadati; Pseudomonadota; Gammaproteobacteria; Enterobacterales; Enterobacteriaceae. The record is from RNAcentral.